RNAcentral lists this ribosomal RNA (288 nucleotides) under uncultured Microgenomates group bacterium. RNAcentral describes it as "partial 16S ribosomal RNA". It matches the Rfam family "Bacterial small subunit ribosomal RNA", at positions 373 to 674 of the family's 1533-position model. The record is from RNAcentral.
GGACGAAAGCCUGACGGAGCGACACCGCGUGGUGGAUGAAGGCCUUAGGGUCGUAAACACCUUUUCUGAGGGAAGAAGAUCUGACGGUCACCUCAGGAAUAAGCCCCGGCUAAUUACGUGCCAGCAGCCGCGGUAAUACGUAAGGGGCAAGCGUUAUCCGGAAUUAUUGGGUGUAAAGCGUCCGCAGGUGGCACUAGAAAGUCUGUCAUUAAAUCCCGUGGCUCACCCAUGGUGCUGUGAUGGAAACUUCUGUGCUACAGGAUAGGAGAGGAAUGUGGAAUUCUGCAA